GAUGACAGUAUUUUGGGUGUGGGUGGGUUACUAUGGUGCGAGUGCCGGGCAGGAGGCACAGGACACAUGCCCACUGUCAGCGCUCGUCAUAUGCUCCAGAGUCCUGGCCCUAGCUAUAGGCAACUACCUAGGACAUGGGGAAAUCCUAGGGCCUGCAGAGCAGCAUGGCAUACUACUGUCAGUGUCAGCACAGCUGUGAAAGUGAAACUACAGAGGAGUCCGAUCAGGGGGCGUGGCUACACGGGUCACUGCUGCCUUCCUGCAAUGUGUGAAACUGAGGGGAGGAAUGGCUCUGAGCUGCAAUACUGGACAUUGUGAUAUGCUGCCAUGUAAUUGUCAUGUGUUAAGCAGCUGCCCGGGAUCUGCCACCACGAGGAGCCUGACUGCCAGCGAGGAGAGAUGGGCCGGCCUGACCAUUACAUCGCGGAGAGUACCAUAUGUGGAGGGUGCUGCUGCUGCCUUCUCAUGUCCUCCCGAGGUGUGCUCGCACACCUGCUGCACUGCUUAAAGAGAGAGCCUGGAUCACAGUGUGAGGUGAGUGGGGACCCAGGGAGGGAAACCACUGGGACAGGGUCGCACACUGCGGCCGCCAUCUUUCUGCACCUCUGCCUUAGUCACUCUAUACCUGUCACCCACUAUCUCCCUGUCAGCCCUGUCUCAGU
Pseudophryne corroboree (corroboree frog) is the source of this 662-nucleotide long non-coding RNA. RefSeq lists it as uncharacterized. The record is from RefSeq and is a predicted model, not a curated record. The transcript is spliced from 3 exons. NCBI's taxonomy places the organism in Eukaryota, Metazoa, Chordata, Amphibia, Anura, Myobatrachidae.